Molecule: long non-coding RNA, 2020 nt
Organism: Cyprinus carpio (common carp)
Lineage: Eukaryota; Metazoa; Chordata; Actinopteri; Cypriniformes; Cyprinidae
Source: Ensembl
AUAUAUAUAUGUGUGUGUGUGUGUGUGUGUGUGUGUGUGUAUUUGUGAUUAACUGUGAUGCAUUUUAAAGUUUUGUAAUAAACUCUGUGAUGCAUUUUUUUUCAGUAUUCUUUGAAUUCAAAGUUAAAGUAAAAAAAAAAAGAAAAAAGUUUUAAAGUCCAAAAUCUUAUGUAACAUUUUUUAAAUACUGUCACUUUUGAUCAGUUCAUGUCUGCUUAGUAAAAGUAUUAAAAAAUUCUGAACCCAAACAUAAGUUAUAAUUCACAGUUUCCACAAAAAUACAAAGCAGCAAAACUGUUUUCAACAUUGAUAAUAACAUGACACUGACAAAUGGAGUAAACUGUGAUAAUUCAGUUUGGGAUCACCAAAAUAAAUUAAAUGUAAAAAUAUAAUAAUAUAAAAAGUAAAUUUUAGCUGUAAUAAUAAUUGACAAUAAUACUGUUUUUACUGAAUUUAUCAGCUUUGUUGAGUAUAAGAGACUUUUUGGAAAAAAAAUUGCAAUAAAAUAAAAUAAAAUAAAACUAUAUUUUUAGCCUCCAGCAUGUAAUUUGCUAUAGUUGCCAUAAUGUUGGUAAUUAUUGCUCUGGUUUCCUCUGUUUUGUGUAGAUAUGGUUGACAUCCACAUGUUAUAUCUCUGAUCUAAUGUGUUUUCUGUGUCCUGAUAUAUUUGUCAUAUGCCUAUUAAUGUCUGUGAUUGUAAGUAUAUUUAAAGAUUUACCAAAAACAUAUAUUUGGACAUAGACAGAAUAUUCAACGUUUAUAUUAAGAAUAAAAUUAUUUUAUUUUAUUUAUUUUUAUUUUUUUCUGGUUUAAGUCAUAAGAGGUAUAUUGAAAUUCGUAGACCUGUGUUUAGUUGUUAUCAACUGUCCCUCUUCUGUGCUGUCCAGCAUUAAUUUAUUCUUUUUUUAUUCCUUCUUUUUUUUUUUGUUUAGAUUGAUCACUGAGCUUUAACUCCUGAGCAAUUCUUGAGCAUUACGAGCACUACAAACUCCCCACUCCACAAUAUCCGACCAUCUAUUCAGAGCACGACCUGCAUUUUUCUCUGCAGCCGAACGCCUGGUUUUGGAUUUUUCUUCAAGCAGCAGUUCUUCUGAAUUGUUCUUCCCACCCCCUCCCCAACCCUCUCCACCCAUAUACCCCACACCCCCCACCCACCACCCCCNACAACAAAGUUCAUUCAUUUUAAUACUAAGUUCACCAUUUGUGUUCAAAUACUACUGUUCUUUUAAAAGUUAAUUCCUUUGAAUACUAGGUUAAUAAUUUGUGUUUCUUCUGCUAUUGUUCUUUUAUUUGGAAAAAAGUUUGUUCCUAUUAAUACUAAAUUCAUAAUUUGUUUUAUCUGCUACUGUUCUUUUUAUUGGAAAAAAAAGUUUAUUAGUUGUAUUUGUAAGUCGUUCUUUUUUCUUGUCAAUUAACUAACUUGUUUUUUUUUUUUGAGAAUACUUUGCAGGCUGUAUCGCUUCAACAUUUUGUGAAGUAAGUAAAAACAUACUUAUUGAAUACAUUACUUUUUGACUGUAAGAUUAAAACCAUUUUAUAGUCAUCCGUUCAAACUCACAAUGAAGAAAAGGUGACAGUUGUUUGCUAAACAUUUAUUUAAGAGACGAUGUGAAAUCAUCUGCUUAUUAUUAUUAUUAUUAUUAUUAUUAUUAUUAUUGAAAAACAAGCAGAACAGAUGAUCAGGACAUUAAACUUCGACCAUUUAAUCCCAUUUAGCUACAAAAAAGGUUGAGUAAUAUGAACAUAAAAUUGCAUCAGGCUGUAAUUUAACUAAGUCUAAUGUAGAGUAUGUUUGAAAAUUAAGCACUUCUUUGUUUGCAUGCAUGCAGCAUGUGAUGGUGUUUUUAGAUCAUCUCUACAGAGAGAGCGUCUCAUUUACACAAAUUUCAUGUCUGUAUAUGCUUGUGGAGUUGUAGAAUUCCCAACUCUUUGACCAAGUUAUUUCUUUCUAAUUAAUGGGUUAGUCAGAUAUUUCAUGGAUUAUUUUAUAUCAUGUCUUUGGUCUGUUUUCUCAUAUUUU